Molecule: ribosomal RNA, 305 nt
Filed under: uncultured Pseudomonas sp.
Lineage: Bacteria; Pseudomonadati; Pseudomonadota; Gammaproteobacteria; Pseudomonadales; Pseudomonadaceae
Description: bacterial SSU rRNA
Rfam family: Bacterial small subunit ribosomal RNA
Source: RNAcentral
GGGUUAAGUCCCGUAACGAGCGCAACCCUUGUCCUUAGUUACCAGCACGUUAUGGUGGGCACUCUAAGGAGACUGCCGGUGACAAACCGGAGGAAGUGGGGAUGACGUCAAGUCAUCAUGGCCCUUACGGCCUGGGCUACACACGUGCUACAAUGGUCGGUACAAAGGGUUGCCAAGCCGCGAGGUGGAGCUAAUCCCAUAAAACCGAUCGUAGUCCGGAUCGCAGUCUGCAACUCGACUGCGUGAAGUCGGAAUCGCUAGUAAUCGUGAAUCAGAAUGUCACGGUGAAUACGUUCCCGGGCCUU